UUUAACGCUAANUACGGGGGACAGCNAAACAAGCAGUGGCGGAGAGGGGGCUGCACCUCCUGAGGCGCGACCGGGGAGUAAGCUAAGAAUCUGCCUGGAGGGGGGAAUACGCUCGAAACGAACGCUAAUACCGCAUACGUCCUACGGGAGAAAGCAGGGGACUUUCGGGCCUUGCGCUAUCAGAUGAGCCUAGGUCGGAAUAGCUAGUUGGUGGGGUAAUGGCUCACCCAGGCGACGAUCCGUAACUGGUCUGAGAGGAUGAUCAGUCACACUGGAACUGAGACACGGUCCAGACUCCUACGGGAGGCAGCAGUGGGGAAUAUUGGACAAUGGGCGAAAGCCUGAUCCAGCCAUGCCGCGUGUGUGAAGAAGGUCUUUGGAUUGUAAAGCACUUUAAGUUGGGAGGAAGGGCAUUAACCUAAUACGUUAGUGUUUUGACGUUACCGACAGAAUAAGCACCGGCUAACUCUGUGCCAGCAGCCGCGGUAAUACAGAGGGUGCAAGCGUUAAUCGGAAUUACUGGGCGUAAAGCGCGCGUAGGUGGUUUGUUAAGUUGGAUGUGAAAUCCCCGGGCUCAACCUGGGAACUGCAUUCUAAAACUGUCGAGCUAGAGUAUGGUAGAGGGUGGUGGAAUUUCCUGUGUAGCGGUGAAAUGCGUAGAUAUAGGAAGGAACACCAGUGGCGAAGGCGACCACCUGGACUGAUACUGACACUGAGGUGCGAAAGCGUGGGGAGCAAACAGGAUUAGAUACCCUGGUAGUCCACGCCGUAAACGAUGUCAACUAGCCGUUGGGAGCCUUGAGCUCUUAGUGGCGCAGCUAACGCAUUAAGUUGACUGCCUGGGCAGUACGCGCGAACACGGUA
This 864-nucleotide ribosomal RNA is filed under the name Pseudomonas fluorescens. RNAcentral's name for it is "bacterial SSU rRNA". It matches the Rfam family "Bacterial small subunit ribosomal RNA", at positions 29 to 897 of the family's 1533-position model. The record is from RNAcentral. Lineage: Bacteria; Pseudomonadati; Pseudomonadota; Gammaproteobacteria; Pseudomonadales; Pseudomonadaceae.